This 404-nucleotide ribosomal RNA is filed under the name uncultured bacterium. RNAcentral's name for it is "bacterial SSU rRNA". It matches the Rfam family "Bacterial small subunit ribosomal RNA", at positions 355 to 775 of the family's 1533-position model. The record is from RNAcentral.
UAGGGAAUAUUGGUUAAUGUGCGAAAGCGCGAACCAGCUACGCCGCGUGUGCGAUGAAGGCCUUCGGGUCGUAAAGCACUUUUUUCAGGGAAGAGGAAGGACGGUACCUGCAGAAUAAGUCUCGGCUAACUACGUGCCAGCAGCCGCGGUAAAACGUAGGAGACGAGCGUUAUCCGGAUUUACUGGUCGUAAAGCGCGUGCAGGCGGCAUGGCAAGUUGGAUGUGAAAGCUCCCGGCUUAACUGGGAGAGGUCGUUCAAUACUGCCAGGAUGGAGAGUGGUAGAGGGAAGUGGAAGUACGGGUGUAGUGGUGAAAUGCGUAGAUAUCCGGAGGAACAACAGUGGCGAAAGCGGAUUCCUGGCCCAUUACUGACGCUCAGACGCGAAAGCUAGGGUAGCAAACGG